RNAcentral lists this long non-coding RNA (1373 nucleotides) under Falco tinnunculus (common kestrel). Its description in RNAcentral is "lncRNA (ENSFTIG00000010322.1)". The record is from RNAcentral. Lineage: Eukaryota; Metazoa; Chordata; Aves; Falconiformes; Falconidae.
CACACAGAAAGUUUUGCCAUAGGAGAGCUGUGGGGAAGCUGGGAACCGAGACUGUAAUAUCUAAACCAUCCCAUACAGACUGCUGCUUGCCGCACUCUUCUUCAUGCCCAAAAGCUACUCUCUGCGUUGCUCAUUUGCGUUAGGAUUUACCGUGUAAAACUCAACCGGCAAAGGCAGGCGUGUUGGGGUCUCCCGAACCCUAAGCCUGGUAUGAUGUGGUGGUGCCUGCCCUCAGCCGGGGCGAGCCGGAAAAGAGGUUUUCAGCCUUUGAUUUUGCUGUGCAUGGUUUCAAUAUUGCAGGGAUCACUUCUCUUUGGGGCAGGAAUGCUGUAAGGAAUCUCACUCGGUCCUUGGAUAAGGAAAUGAUCAAGGACUUGCCUAUUCACAAUUAAUGGAAAAAAAGAGCUGAAAGCCUUUAUUAAUCAUUGCACAAUAAGGAAGUCAUACUGGUUUGGCUCCUUUCAGUAGGGCUAUUUGGUCACACCUACCUAAGUGGUUUGGCAUCCCAACCAUCUCCUGCUCGUGCAGCUGGGGAAGGAGGAGGGAAGGGCCACUGCACCUGUGUGCCACCAAGGUGCCUGGCCACUGGCUCAUGGGGCAGGGUGAGCUCUGAGUGCCCAUCUCCCUUUCCUGGAGGGCUGGGCAUCUGUUUUUAGAGAUCUGUGCCCAAUACACACACCAGUGCCACCCAUCCCUGUGCUCUGGGUUUCUGCUCGCAGGUUUCUGCCCCAAGCCCUGGCAUCAAAAAGGAGCAGAACUUUGUGCAUGCGCUGCACCAGUUUCUCCCCUGCCAGCUGCAGGGGGUCCCUGCCAGGGAGGGUCUUGUCCUAGGGAUGUGUGCCACCUGCCCAGUGACUGCAGCUCCUUGCCCCACUACUGGGUAUCUGCUUGGGGCCCUGGCUUACCUCUUGUGGCAGCCAGGCUGUUUAACCCCCAGCUCCAGAAAGCGGUUUGGGCCCAGAUGUGAUGGCUGGCAGGUGCCUCUGAAGUGCCAGGAGACAGAUGUUCAGGCACUGGGUUUUGGCUGGUGCACAGGACUGCAUCGCCCUGCCCUAGGAGAGCAUGCCGGGGAGAAUUUUAUAGCUAGUGGUAAGACAACAUCAGCACGGGUUGAGACAGCAUGUCAGGAGCCUGGGUUACAUCUCAGUUGCCUUUCCUACGUGAGUUUGCACAGCCUGAAGUUUGCAGAGCUGAAAGGCCCGAAGCAGCUGAGCCCGUGUUGGCUGGAGGUGGAAAGCAUCAAAUCUUCCCCGUGCCACGUUUUCCUGCGCAGAGUGCCGUUCAACUUGUGCCAAGCUGCAAGCUGUCACGGUGGAGAAGGCAUGAAAAGGAAAUUUGCUGAGAAAAAGAACCUCCAAAUCCUGGAUUGCUGA